AUGUUCGAGUAUGUAAAUGUUGUCAGCAAGAUGUUUGAUAGUGAGGCUGAAGGCUAUGAAUUCUACAACAAAUAUGCUCUUGAAAAAGGUUUUAGUGUGAGGAAAAGCUACGUUGAGUGGGAUGGAUCCAACAAAUACAUAAUUUUAAGGAAAAUUGUGUGUAGUCGUCAAGGGUUCCGCGAAGAGAAGCACAUAAAAAGAAAGAUGGAAGAUAGAAAGAGGAGGCCACAAAGUUUAACUCGUGUUGGGUGUAAUGCUAAAUUGGUCAUUACGAGACAGGAGGAAACCGGUCGGUGGUUUGUCAAGGAUUUCAUCGAUGAGCACAGCCGUCCGCUAGCCCCACGGGAUCUUUCUUGUCUGUUGCGUUCGCACAGACGAAUUAGCGAUGAGUAG
This 393-nucleotide ribosomal RNA is filed under the name Triticum aestivum (bread wheat). Its description in RNAcentral is "partial small subunit ribosomal RNA". Lineage: Eukaryota; Viridiplantae; Streptophyta; Magnoliopsida; Poales; Poaceae. The record is from RNAcentral.